GAUGAACGCUGGCGGCGUGCCUAAUACAUGCAAGUCGAGCGAACGGACGAGAAGCUUGCUUUUCUGAUGUUAGCGGCGGACGGGUGAGUAACACGUGGAUAACCUACCUAUAAGACUGGGAUAACUUCGGGAAACCGGAGCUAAUACCGGAUAAUAUUUUGAACCGCAUGGUUCAAAAGUGAAAGACGGUCUUGCUGUCACUUAUAGAUGGAUCCGCGCUGCAUUAGCUAGUUGGUAAGGUAACGGCUUACCAAGGCAACGAUGCAUAGCCGACCUGAGAGGGAGCAGGGCCACACUGGAACUGAGACACGGCCAAGACUCCGACGGGAGGCACCAGAAGGGAAUUUUCCGCAAGGGGCGAAGGCCUGACGGAGCCACGCCGCGUGAGUGAUAAGGGUCUUCGUAUCAAAAAACUCUUUUAUUAGGGAAAAAAAAAUGUGAAAGAAACUGUGCACAUCUGGACGUAACAUAAAAAAAAGGCCACGACAAACAACGGG
RNAcentral lists this ribosomal RNA (497 nucleotides) under uncultured bacterium. RNAcentral's name for it is "partial 16S ribosomal RNA". It matches the Rfam family "Bacterial small subunit ribosomal RNA", at positions 28 to 507 of the family's 1533-position model. The record is from RNAcentral.